RNAcentral lists this ribosomal RNA (1142 nucleotides) under Dictyocoela sp. NZ2. Its description in RNAcentral is "partial small subunit ribosomal RNA". It matches the Rfam family "Microsporidia small subunit ribosomal RNA", at positions 54 to 1153 of the family's 1311-position model. The record is from RNAcentral. Lineage: Eukaryota; Fungi; Microsporidia.
GUGUAAGCGAAGCGAUAACGUGGAGCGGUGAAAGGCUCAGUAACGGGCGAUUUAUUUAAUCUCCUGGGGCGGACAACAUCGGGAAACUGAUGGGAAAACGCCUAAGUUGCAGUUUUCUGAUUGCGACGUAAACGAGUUGUGCAGGAGAAUAAGAUGCCAUCCUAUCAGUUAGUAAGUAGGGUAAGGGCCUACUUAGACGAAGACGGGUACGGGGAAUGAGGGUUUGAUUCCGGAGAGGGAGCCUGAGAGACGGCUACCAGGACCAAGGUCAGCAGCAGGCGCGAAAAUUAUCGAAGCCCGCCUAGGGGCGAUAGUGAGGAGACGUGUAUACGAAGUACGUGUAAAGAAUGUACUAAUAACUGGAGGUCAAGUCUGGUGCCAGCAUCCGCGGUAAUUCCAGCUCCAGGGGUGUCUAUGAUGAUUGCUGCGAUUAAAAAGUCCGUAGUCAAUCUGUCUGACUGGUCUGCAAUGUGAUUGAUUAAAGAACAAGCAGGACUAGGAAAGCAGAGAAUUAGGAGCGACCGGGGGCUAGAGUAUUGAAUGGCGAGAGGUGAAAUUUGAUGACCCAUUCAGGAGUGACAAAGGCGAAGGCACUAGUCAAGGGCGAAUCCGAUGAUCAAGGACGUAGGCUAGAGUUUCGAAAACGAUUAGAGACCGGAGUAGUUCUAGCAGUAAACUAUGCCGACGCCGUGGUAUUAAUUUAGUAUUGCGGAAGAGAAAUCAAGUAAGGCUUUGGGGAGAGUACGCGCGCAAGCGAUAAAUUUAAAGGAAAUUGACGGAGGAACACCACAAGGAGUGGAGUGUGCGGCUUAAUUUGACUCAACGCGGGACAGCUUACCAGGCCCGAUAAUCAUACGAGCGUAGUACGCGAUAGGUUAAAGAGUGGUGCAUGGCUGCUAUCGACAGUUGGGGUGACCUUAGGGUUAAUUCCGGCAAGUAGUGAGACCCCUGCAGAUAGUGGACAGGUAUUUAAGAUACAGGAAGGAAGGGACAAGAGCAGGUCAGUGAUGCCCUUAGAUGGCCUGGGCUGCACGCGCACUACAGUGGUCAUUAUAAUUUGUAGUUAGAUAUAAAGAUGAUCGAGAGGGACUGAGCUUUGUAAGAGGCUCACGAACGAGGAAUUGCUAGUAAUCGUAGGCUCA